AACUCCAUUUCCAUUAUGCUUUCCACUCCAUUCUCUCAACUUUUACUUGCACUUCAGGAAUUUUCUUCAUUAAAAACACCACCUAAAAAAGUCGUCAUUUUUUUUAUCCUCCUCUCAACCGAACGUAUGUUAUGAUGGUUGAGAUGACAACAACCAUGGUUGCAUUCCAAGCAUUGAGAAGCCUCAAGCUUGAAAUAUGCUUUUGAGAUUAUAUUCUUUGCACAGAGUUGAAGAGUAGAGCCAGUUUGAGGGGGAGAAAAGGAAUAGGAAUACUAAUCCUCCACUCCGAGUCAUUAUUUUGAGUCUAUAGGAGUUGGAGCGUCGAUCCAUUCCCGAUGAAAAUUUGAAAAGUGGGCCUUUCCGGCGAGAUAAAGGAGGAAAUUAAAUGUGCCAGCUCGUGAGGAAGCAUGAGACGAUGAGGAUGAAACAGUUGGAAGCUGAUUGUCAUGGGGACCUUUUCUUUCGCUUUAUUCUCCUGUCUUCCAUACAAGGGUAACUGAAGCUACGUACAGGAACUGAGUUUACCGCAUAUCUCAAGCCUGAGCUUUGACAAGGUGAUAACUUUUAUGUUAAGUCGGUAUUAUUUAGUUUUCUUUACCUUUCUAGGCGGCAAAACAGAUGCUUAUUGAAUUUGUAGUCUUAAUGGCGAAUACGGUAGUGGAACAUGGCGUGUGGGAUCUGUUUGGUGUUCUAUAUUUGCAAAUUUUGUUGGCUGUUUGCCAACAAAAUCUUGGUGUUCUAGAGCUGAAGAUUGAAUUUAAUGAUGUUUUUGUCUUGGUAAAAUUAUUGGCUUUGUAUGCUUAUGAGGCUCUUGGGUUAUGCAGUGGAGAUAGUGGCAAUGAGUAAGGUACUCAAAUUACUUAUGCUAAUUAGUCGGUGAAGCUGCCCAUGGUACAAAACCAAUGGAUUGAGUAAGCUUGAAUUUUGAAUGUACAUUUCUUUGUUUCCUGAUGCUGUUUCUGGAUUAUGUUGCAUGACAUAGGCCAUUGCCGGCGCAUGUUCUGGUUUUUGGGAUUUUGAUCAGUAGGAUAUAUACACCUACAAAGCAUUUUAUUCUUCCCCAUUAAUGUUUGAAUCUAGACUUUUAUACUUUCAGCUACUAGAUUAGAAGCUCUCCAGCUUGAGGAUCAUA
This is a long non-coding RNA of Carya illinoinensis, 1132 nucleotides long. RefSeq lists it as uncharacterized. The record is from RefSeq and is a predicted model, not a curated record. The transcript is spliced from 4 exons. NCBI's taxonomy places the organism in Eukaryota, Viridiplantae, Streptophyta, Magnoliopsida, Fagales, Juglandaceae.